UUUAUUUUUUUUUUAAAUCGUGUGUGUGUGUGUGUGUGUGUGUGUGUGUGUGUUAAUCCCCGGGUUGACGGCUGCUUUUUGGUCUCUAAGCUGUUCUCAUCUCUACUAUCUCUGCUACAGUGAAGCUCACAGCCAACGAGAGAGAGGCAGAGAGUGUUUUCCCCUCUUCUCUUUCCCUCUCUGUCCUUUCCUCUAAUCCCCCCUCCCCAGUCUCUCUCCCUCCUCUCUAUUUUUCUCUCGGUGACAGGUCUCUCCCUCCUCUCUAUUUUUCUCUCGGUGACAGGUCUCUCCCUCCUCUCUAUUUUUCUCUAGGUGACAGGUCUCUCCCUCCUCUCUAUUUUUCUCUAGGUGACAGGUCUCUCCCUCCUCUCUAUUUUUCUCUAGGUGCCAGGUCUCUCUCUCCUUUUCUCUCGGUGCCAGGUCUCUCCCUCCUCUCUUUUUCUCUAGGUGCCAGGUCUCUCCCUCCUCUCUUUUUCUCUAGGUGACAGGUCUCUCCCUCCUCUCUCUUUUUAUCUUGGUGACAGGUCUCUCCCUCCUCUCUCUUUUUAUCUUGGUGACAGGUCUCUCUCUCCUCUCUUGCACUAUAUAGAGAAUAGGGCUCUGGUCUAAAGUAGUGCACUAUAUAGAGAAUAGGGCUCUGGUCUAAAGUAGUGCACUAUAUAGAGAAUAGGGCUCUGGUCUAAAGUAGUGCACUAUAUAGAGAAUAGGGCUCUGGUCUAAAGUAGUGCACUAUAUAGAGAAUAGGGCUCUGGUCUAAAGUAGUGCCACUAUAUAGAGAAUAGGGCUCUGGUCUAAAGUAGUGCACUAUAUAGAGAAUAGGGCUCUGGUCUAAAGUAGUGCACUAUAUAGAGAAUAGGGC
This is a long non-coding RNA of Oncorhynchus tshawytscha (Chinook salmon), 859 nucleotides long. The record is from Ensembl. Lineage: Eukaryota; Metazoa; Chordata; Actinopteri; Salmoniformes; Salmonidae.